GAUGAAGAACGCAGCGAAAUGCGAUAAGUAAUGCGAAUUGCAGAAUUCCAGUGAGUCAUCGAAUCUUUGAACGCACAUUGCGCCCUUUGGUAUUCCGAAGGGCAUGCCUGUUCGAGCGUCAUUAUCACCCCUCAAGCCCUCGGCUUGGUGUUGGACGGUUUGGUGGAGGCCCCCUCGGGGGCUCCUGCCCCUCCCAAAGACAAUGACGGCGGCCUCGUUGGACCCCCGGUACACUGAGUUCUUCACGGGACACGUAUCGGACACAUGGGUUUACGGGACACGGUCUGCCUCCCCUCAGGGAGAAUCUUUCUAAGGUUGACCUCGGAUCAGGUAGGGAUACCCGCUGAACUUAAGCACAUCAAUAAGCGGAGGA
Molecule: unclassified non-coding RNA, 373 nt
Filed under: soil metagenome
Description: partial contains 5.8S ribosomal RNA, internal transcribed spacer 2, and large subunit ribosomal RNA
Rfam family: 5.8S ribosomal RNA (bases 1-121)
Source: RNAcentral